Molecule: ribosomal RNA, 484 nt
Filed under: uncultured bacterium
Lineage: Bacteria
Description: partial 16S ribosomal RNA
Rfam family: Bacterial small subunit ribosomal RNA
Source: RNAcentral
GACGAACGCUGGCGGCGUGCUUAACACAUGCAAGUCGAACGAUGAAGCCGGAGCUUGCUCUGGUGAAUUAGUGGCGAACGGGUGAGUAACACGUGAGUAACCUGCCCUUGACUCUGGGAUAACUGCUAGAAAUGGUAGCUAAUACCGGAUACGACCCUCGGCGGCAUCGCCAGGGGGUGGAAAGAAUUUCGGCCAAGGAUGGACUCGCGGCCUAUCAGCUAGUUGGUGAGGUAACGGCUCACCGAGGCGACGACGGGUAGCCGGCCUGAGAGGGUGACCGGCCACACUGGGACUGAGACACGGCCCAGACUCCUACGGGAGGCAGCAGUGGGGAAUAUUGCACAAUGGGCGCAAGCCUGAUGCAGCAACGCCGCGUGAGGGAUGACGGCCUUCGGGUUGUAAACCUCUUUUAGUAGGGAAGAAGCGAAAGUGACGGUACCUGCAGAAAAAGCACCGGCUAACUACGUGCCAGCCGCCGCGGUAA